UACGUAGGUGGCAAGCGUUGUCCGGAGUUAUUGGGCGUAAAGCGCGCGCAGGCGGUGCGGUAAGUCUCUGGUGAAAGCGCUCGGCUUAACUGGGCGAGGGCCGGGGAGACUGCCACGCUGGAGGGGAGCAGAGGCGAGUGGAAUUCCGGGUGUAGCGGUGAAAUGCGCAGAUAUCAGGAGGAACACCGGUGGCGAAGGCGGUUCUCUGGGCCUGUACUGACGCUGAGGAGCGAAAGCGUGGGGAGCGAACAGG
Molecule: ribosomal RNA, 253 nt
Filed under: uncultured bacterium
Lineage: Bacteria
Description: partial 16S ribosomal RNA
Rfam family: Bacterial small subunit ribosomal RNA
Source: RNAcentral